This is a long non-coding RNA of Pongo pygmaeus (Bornean orangutan), 265 nucleotides long. RefSeq lists it as uncharacterized. The record is from RefSeq and is a predicted model, not a curated record. The transcript has 3 exons. NCBI's taxonomy places the organism in Eukaryota, Metazoa, Chordata, Mammalia, Primates, Hominidae.
CCAGGGUGCCCACACACCUCUGGCGGAGGGCACCCGGCCCCUCUCACCUUUUCCAGAUGGGGUCUCACUAUGUUGCCCAGAUUGGUCUCGAACUCCUGGCCUCAAGAAAUCCUCCUGUCUCGGACUCCCAAGUAGCUGGGAUUACAGGCAUGAGCCAUCACACCUAGCAGGGCUAUCAGGACAAGAGCUGUGAGGGAUACAUCCUCCUUGGAGCGUUGGUAGCCACCCUGUGGAUGCAGAGUCCCAUCUGUAAUUCCCUCAGCAU